This 252-nucleotide ribosomal RNA is filed under the name uncultured bacterium. RNAcentral's name for it is "partial 16S ribosomal RNA". It matches the Rfam family "Bacterial small subunit ribosomal RNA", at positions 524 to 776 of the family's 1533-position model. The record is from RNAcentral.
UACGUAGGUCCCGAGCGUUGUCCGGAUUUAUUGGGCGUAAAGCGAACGCAGGUGGUUUAUUAAGUCUGGUGUAAAAGGCAGUGGCUCAACCAUUGUAUGCGUUGGAAACUGGUAGACUUGAGUGCAGGAGAGGAGAGUGGAAUUCCAUGUGUAGCGGUGAAAUGCGUAGAUAUAUGGAGGAACACCGGUGGCGAAAGCGGCUCUCUGGCCUGUAACUGACACUGAGGCUCGAAAGCGUGGGGAGCAAACAGG